CAUUUAUUAGCCAAUUUCUGAUCAUGCAAAGGUGUCCAUUUGAGAUUAUAGCUGAUCCCAAUAGCUGAACCAUAUAAUUUAGACAAAACAGUAACUAAAUGCACUUCAGAAAUAAGAUUUUCCUUUUUUUUUUUUUCCUAUUAUGUUAUAUUCUACAAUAUACAGAACUCAUAAAAAUACAAAUUUCGCCAAAUUAUUAAAGAAUUUAUAGUGGAGGAACUUCUCACUUAUCAAUAAUGACGGUCAUCUGAAAGGUUCAACUGGU
Molecule: unclassified non-coding RNA, 265 nt
Filed under: Hevea brasiliensis (rubber tree)
Lineage: Eukaryota; Viridiplantae; Streptophyta; Magnoliopsida; Malpighiales; Euphorbiaceae
Source: RNAcentral